Non-coding RNA from Podarcis lilfordi (Lilford's wall lizard), 123 nucleotides. Lineage: Eukaryota; Metazoa; Chordata; Lepidosauria; Squamata; Lacertidae. The record is from the annotation of a GenBank genome assembly.
AGGCAAACUCGGCCUUCCAGAUGUUUUUGGGACUACAAUUCCCAUCAUCCCUGACCACCGGUCCUGUUAGCUAGGGAUCAUGGGAGUUGUAGUCCCAAAACAUCUGGAGGGCCGAGUUUGCCU